GACGAACGCUGGCGGCGUGCUUAACACAUGCAAGUCGAACGGAAAGGCCCUGCUUUUGUGGGGUGCUCGAGUGGCGAACGGGUGAGUAACACGUGAGUAACCUGCCCUUGACUUUGGGAUAACUUCAGGAAACUGGGGCUAAUACCGGAUAGGAGCUCCUGCUGCAUGGGGGGGGUUGGAAAGUUUCGGCGGUUGGGGAUGGACUGGCGGCUUAUCAGCUGGUUGGGGGGGUAGUGGCUUACCAAGGCUUUGACGGGUAGCCGGCCUGAGAGGGUGACCGGCGACAUUGGGACUGAGGUAGGGCCCAGACUCCUACAGGAGGCAGCAGUGGGGAAUAUUGCACAAUGGGCGGAAGCCUGAUGCAGCGACGCCGGGUGCGGGAUGACGGCUUUCGGGUUGUAAACCGCUUUAGCUUGUGACGAAGCGUGAGUGACGGUAAUGGGUAAAGAAGCACCGGCUAACUACGUG
RNAcentral lists this ribosomal RNA (468 nucleotides) under uncultured bacterium. RNAcentral's name for it is "partial 16S ribosomal RNA". It matches the Rfam family "Bacterial small subunit ribosomal RNA", at positions 28 to 507 of the family's 1533-position model. The record is from RNAcentral.